GAUGAAUGCUGGCGGCGUGCCUAACACAUGCAAGUCGAGCGGCAGCGAGUUUUCCACUGAAUUCUGGAAGCUUCUGAGUAGUACAGAAGAUUUAUUCAAGAGUUUUGUGUAAAAUGUCGGCGAGCGGCGGACGGCUGAGUAACGCGUAGGAAUUUGCCCCAAAGUGAGGAAUAACUGCCCGAAAGGGUAGCUAAUGCCGCAUAUGGUCUUCGGAUUAAAGCCUUCGGGCGCUUUGGGAGAAGCCUGCGUUGGAUUAGGUAGUUGGUAGGGUAAUGGCCUACCAAGCCGACGAUCCAUAGCUGGUCUGAGAGGAUGAUCAGCCAGACUGGAACUGAGACACGGUCCAGACUCCUACGGGAGGCAGCAGUGAGGAAUCUUCCACAAUGGGCGAAAGCCUGAUGGAGCAACGCCGCGUGAAGGAUGAAGGCCUUCGGGUUGUAAACUUCUUUUAUGAGUGAAGAAUAUGACGGUAACUCAUGAAUAAGCACCGGCUAACUACGUG
This 502-nucleotide ribosomal RNA is filed under the name uncultured bacterium. RNAcentral's name for it is "partial 16S ribosomal RNA". It matches the Rfam family "Bacterial small subunit ribosomal RNA", at positions 28 to 507 of the family's 1533-position model. The record is from RNAcentral.